This 182-nucleotide microRNA precursor is filed under the name Oryza glumipatula. RNAcentral's name for it is "pre miRNA MIR820". It matches the Rfam family "MIR820 microRNA precursor family". The record is from RNAcentral. Lineage: Eukaryota; Viridiplantae; Streptophyta; Magnoliopsida; Poales; Poaceae.
CGGCCUCCUGGAUGGACCAGGAGCUCGACGAUAUGUUAAGGCCGUUCUUUCCAACCCAGACAAGGUUCCACCGCGUGCAUUCUUCCAAGAGUUUCUUGGACAAAAGCAGGAAGUGGAACCUUGUUAGGGUUGGAAAGAACUGCCUUCAAGAAGUCGAUGCUCCAGAUCCAUCUAGGAGGACG